RNAcentral lists this ribosomal RNA (279 nucleotides) under uncultured bacterium. RNAcentral describes it as "partial 16S ribosomal RNA". It matches the Rfam family "Bacterial small subunit ribosomal RNA", at positions 506 to 784 of the family's 1533-position model. The record is from RNAcentral.
UGCCAGCAGCCGCGGUAAUACGGAGGGUGCAAGCGUUAAUCGGAAUUACUGGGCGUAAAGCGCGCGUAGGCGGUUGUCUAAGCUAGGUGUGAAAUAUCUGGGCUUAACCUAGAGGGGUCAUGUGAUACUGUCUAUCUCGAGUAGAGCAGAGGGAAGUAGAAUUUCCGGUGUAGCGGUGAAAUGCGUAGAGAUCGGAAGGAAUACCAGUGGCGAAGGCGGCUUCCUGGGCUCAUACUGACACUGAGGCGCGAAAGCGUGGGUAGCGAACAGGAUUAGAUA